CACCGAUGGAUGCGCGCCCCGCACCGCCCCCCCCCGCAUCUCCGGGGAUAACGGGUGGGGGGAGCACCGGGUCCGGGGCUGCGAAGCCACCCAACACAGCGCGAAGCACAGAGCCGCUGCCGCCCCCACCCCUCAUUUCUGGCGUUUGUAGAUCUUCUGUGCCAGGCCGAGGAAGAUCUCCUUCGGGAGGCGGUUCGAGUGCUUCUCUAUCAGUUCCUGCAGGCGCCGGUAGCUGCUCUCCUCGUACUGCUGGAACGCAGCCCUCAUCCCCACGGCCUCAUACAGCUCCUUCACCUUCGCCACCUUCUCGGGCUCCUUACGGCCGUAGUUGUCCUCCAGGAGCUGCCGCUGCUCCGGCGUGACGCGCUGCAGGCACUGCACCACGAGCCAGCUGCAUUUAUUGUCCUGGAUGUCGGUGCCCACCUUCCCC
Molecule: long non-coding RNA, 430 nt
Filed under: Gallus gallus (chicken)
Lineage: Eukaryota; Metazoa; Chordata; Aves; Galliformes; Phasianidae
Source: RNAcentral